This 57-nucleotide transfer RNA is filed under the name Capra hircus (goat). It matches the Rfam family "tRNA", at positions 8 to 63 of the family's 71-position model. From Rfam's summary of the family: Transfer RNA (tRNA) molecules are approximately 80 nucleotides in length. RNAcentral also lists the same sequence under 1 other name. The record is from Rfam by way of RNAcentral. Lineage: Eukaryota; Metazoa; Chordata; Mammalia; Artiodactyla; Bovidae.
UGGCUCAGAUGGCAAAGCAUCUGCCUGCAAUGCAGGAGACCCGGGUUCAAUCCCUGG